RNAcentral lists this ribosomal RNA (584 nucleotides) under Cosmospora berkeleyana. RNAcentral's name for it is "partial 28S ribosomal RNA". It matches the Rfam family "Eukaryotic large subunit ribosomal RNA", at positions 39 to 648 of the family's 3401-position model. Lineage: Eukaryota; Fungi; Ascomycota; Sordariomycetes; Hypocreales; Nectriaceae. The record is from RNAcentral.
CAUAUCAAUAAGCGGAGGAAAAGAAACCAACAGGGAUUGCCCUAGUAACGGCGAGUGAAGCGGCAACAGCUCAAAUUUGAAAUCUGGCCCUCGGGUCCGAGUUGUAAUUUGUAGAGGAUGCUUUUGGUGCGGUGCCUUCCGAGUUCCCUGGAACGGGACGCCAUAGAGGGUGAGAGCCCCGUCUGGUUGGACACCAAGCCUCUGUAAAGCUCCUUCGACGAGUCGAGUAGUUUGGGAAUGCUGCUCUAAAUGGGAGGUAUAUGUCUUCUAAAGCUAAAUACCGGCCAGAGACCGAUAGCGCACAAGUAGAGUGAUCGAAAGAUGAAAAGCACUUUGAAAAGAGGGUUAAAUAGUACGUGAAAUUGUUGAAAGGGAAGCGCUUAUGACCAGACUUGAGCCCGGUUAAUCAUCCAGCCUUCUGGCUGGUGCACUUGGCCGGCUCAGGCCAGCAUCAGUUCGGCGCGGGGGAUAAAGGCUUCGGGAAUGUGGCUCCUCCGGGAGUGUUAUAGCCCGUUGUGUAAUACCCUGUACUGGACUGAGGUUCGCGCAUCUGCAAGGAUGCUGGCGUAAUGGUCAUCAGCGAC